AAGGUUUACCCACAUUACCGCACUGUUGUGUUCAGGCAUUCAGCGUCCAGCCUGGCAAGCAGCGGCUCAUUUGUUUGAUUCUGAAGUUUACAUUUGGAAUUAUUGCAUAUAUUAAUUGUGCAAUUUGUUUUGCAGGUCUCAAGCCUUAUGCACUCGAAAGAAACGGAUGCAGUGCAGAAAGGGAUCACUUAAUGCAGUGUGGAGGACGUUUAGAGGACACCCUUGAGAGAUGACUCUGCAAUAAUCUGCCAAAGUCUUUGGUUUCAUUCAUGCUCAAAAGAAGAAAUAACAUGGUAAGGACGUCAAGAAGCAUAGCGUCAGACCAAACAAGCCUUUCAGAAAGAAGCAAGUGACAGCUUCACUCUUCAUCAUGCCCUUUCUGCCAGAGGAAAAGAGAAGAGAAAGACAAUUGUUUGGAAGGAUCCUGUUGGGGAAGCCCUUUCUGCAGAUUCUGAUGCCCUCCAGCACACCGUUACAGCGCAGCUGGUGCAUGACCAGAGGAUUCUCCAUCGCCCCUGGAGUCUUAGUCUCAUUGGGGAUGAUGCAGCGUACAAAGUGAGGCGGUGAAACUAAAGCAGUCAUGGCCUUGCUGUGAUAUCCUGUGCAUGCAUCCACCAUCACAAGACAAGCGAGACAUAUGAGGUAUCGUCUUUCUGUCGGGUCAAACGUUUGGUUUCCUGCCCAGUCCUGCUGCAUAUGUGCCCCUGUCACGGUGUAAAUUACCUUAGAGGUUAAAUUAAUAAAACACAGUUGGCUCACUCA
Molecule: long non-coding RNA, 762 nt
Organism: Puntigrus tetrazona (Sumatra barb)
Lineage: Eukaryota; Metazoa; Chordata; Actinopteri; Cypriniformes; Cyprinidae
Exons: 5
Source: RefSeq, a predicted model, not a curated record